GUGGCGAUUGGCUGACGCGGUGGCUGCGCACUCGGCCUGAGAAACUCGGCGAGCGGCCCGGUGUCGACUCCCCGGGCUAUGCCAGGCGCAUCUCAGCUGCAAAUCUUGGAGCAAAAACCAGAGACAUUGCCAGAGCAAACAAGAACAGAAAUACAAAUGGAGAACUGGUCAAAAGACAUAACCCACAGUUAUCUUGAACAAGAAACUACAGGGAUAAAUAAAAGUACACAGCCAGAUGAGCAACUGACUAUGAAUUCUGAGAAAAGUAUGCAUCGGAAAUCCACUGAAUUAGUUAAUGAAAUAACAUAUGAGAACACAGAAUGGCCAGGGCAGAGAUCAACGAAUUUUCAGAUCAUCAGUUCUUAUCCAGAUAAUGAGUCUGUUUACUGCACUACUGAAAAAUACAACAUUAUGGAAGAUAGACAUAAUGAUAUGCAUUAUGAAUGUAUGACUCCUUGUCAAGUUACUUCAGACUCAGAUAAAGAGAAGACAAUAGCAUUUCUUCUAAAAGAAUUGGAUAUUCUCAGAACAAGCAAUAAAAAGCUUCAGCAGAAAUUGGCUAAAGAAGAUAAAGAACAGAGAAAACUAAAGUUUAAGCUGGAACUCCAAGAGAAAGAAACAGAAGCUAAAAUUGCUGAAAAGACAGCAGCUCUGGUUGAAGAAGUGUAUUUUGCGCAGAAGGAACGUGAUGAAGCUGUUAUGUCUAGACUGCAAUUAGCCAUUGAGGAGAGAGAUGAAGCAAUUGCACGAGCCAAGCAUAUGGAAAUGUCUCUAAAAGUGCUAGAAAAUAUUAACCCUGAAGAAAAUGACAUGACAUUACAGGAAUUACUGAACAGAAUAAACAAUGCAGACACAGGGAUAGCUAUUCAGAAGAAUGGAGCUAUAAUUGUGGAUAGAAUCUACAAGACCAAGGAAUGUAAAAUGAGAAUAACUGCAGAAGAAAUGAGUGCACUAAUAGAAGAACGGGAUGCUGCCUUGUCUAAGUGCAAACGGUUAGAGCAGGAGCUUCAUCAUCUGAAAGAGCAGAACCAGACUUCAGCAAACAACAUGAGACAUCUGACUGCUGAAAACAAUCAAGAACGUGCUCUGAAGCUUUUCAGAAUCUGCCUGAAAGUGGCCUAAGAAUGGCACAGGCCUUCAGGAUGGCUGGUUUUUUUUUUAUAGUACAGAAAAAGAACUAAACUUUACACUUUUAUUUUCUGUUGCAAGCAUUUGGUUCUUUUAUUUUAUACAUUUUAUCCCUAUACAUUCUUAUAUAUGUCUGUAAGAUAAUGCAUGAUUUAUAUAAUCUAUACAUUAUACUAUAACCAUUUUUUAAAAAACGAUUUCUUCUCAGCCUUUUGUUCACUGAUUAGAAAAAGCUGAUGAAAAACUG
Molecule: small RNA, 1375 nt
Filed under: Pongo abelii (Sumatran orangutan)
Lineage: Eukaryota; Metazoa; Chordata; Mammalia; Primates; Hominidae
Description: processed transcript
Source: RNAcentral